Gasterosteus aculeatus aculeatus (three-spined stickleback) is the source of this 526-nucleotide long non-coding RNA. The record is from Ensembl. NCBI's taxonomy places the organism in Eukaryota, Metazoa, Chordata, Actinopteri, Perciformes, Gasterosteidae.
AGCUUCUAGAAGCUUCUGAGCGGCUAACAGGAAGUUGGCGUCUCACAGGCAAGCAAACACUUUGCUCGGCUAAAUGCUACGGUAAGGGACAUUUUACUACCGUCUGUGGCCAAAAUGAAUCCCUGUUGUGGAUGUUCUUUGGUUCGACAAAGGUUUUACCGGAGAGGAGUGAGCCGUAACUUGACGUCAUAGCUGUUGAAUCUGAAGACUUUUUUUCUGUCGAGACGCUAUUUUACUUUAGCCAAGAGAGAAACUGUGGAUCAAAGACGUUAAACAGCCGUGGCCGCUGAGCCCGACUACGCUAAUGAGGUGGAACAAGGUCGUUCUGGUCCUUUGACUUGUCAGGAAAACCCACACAGCGACUGAGGCCUCAUCAGGAGUCCGUGUGAGCCUCCAAUCCCCCCCCAGGUUCCCUCACCACGACAACCAAGGACCCCUCAAAAACCUGAGGACCACAAGCAGCUUUGAAUGAGCAGAAAGAAACCUGGCCGGAGGAUACGAAUCACCUUCCAACGCAAGAUGCACC